GUGCAUCGAACUGCUGGCUCCCCAUCAACUUCAGUCUUUCCCCCAAGUGAAGCUCAUUCCUUGCGGGGGUGCGGACGGUAUCCUGUGCUGCUUACCAUGAAUCGGAAAUUGUUGGCUUUGUUGUGUUGAUCCGCCUUUGUGUCCUUUGGGGCACGAGGUGGACGUGAGGCGGACUUUGUGUUCCUAGCAUGCCUAGUGCAUUGUUGCUUGGCUGUUGUGGCCCAUAGAGUCUCAGCUUGUUCUCUCGGAUAUGGAAUGCUACGCAUAGGCAAACAGGUCUUGGCCUAAAUUUGCCUAAGCAUUGGUCCCUUGACUCGAACGACUGCUGUGCCUGUGUUGAUCUUCCCGACCAAGGCCCUUUGAUGGGUUUACUGGAUGAGGGUUUGCUCAUAUGGGCAUUGGCAUCGAUGAGGAAUGU
RNAcentral lists this unclassified non-coding RNA (418 nucleotides) under Crowea exalata subsp. magnifolia. RNAcentral's name for it is "partial external transcribed spacer". The record is from RNAcentral. Lineage: Eukaryota; Viridiplantae; Streptophyta; Magnoliopsida; Sapindales; Rutaceae.